GACGAACGCUGGCGGCGUGCUUAACACAUGCAAGUCGAACGGAAAGGCCCCUUUGGGGGUACUCGAGUGGCGAACGGGUGAGUAACACGUGAGUAACCUUCCCUUGACUUCGGGAUAACUUCAGGAAACUGGGGCUAAUACCGGAUAGGAAUCCUUGCUGCAUGGUGGGGGUUGGAAAGCUUCGGCGGUUUUGGAUGGACUCGCGGCUUAUCAGCUUGUUGGUGGGGUAGUGGCUUACCAAGGCUUUGACGGGUAGCCGGCCUGAGAGGGCGACCGGCCACAUUGGGACUGAGAUACGGCCCAGACUCCUACGGGAGGCAGCAGUGGGGAAUAUUGCACAAUGGGCGGAGGCCUGAUGAAGCAACGCCGCGUGCGGGAUGACGGCCUUCGGGUUGUAAACCGCUUUCAGCAGGGGCGAAGCUUGUGGUGACGGUACCUGCAGAAGAAGCACCGGCUAACUACGUG
Molecule: ribosomal RNA, 465 nt
Filed under: uncultured bacterium
Lineage: Bacteria
Description: partial 16S ribosomal RNA
Rfam family: Bacterial small subunit ribosomal RNA
Source: RNAcentral